GCGCGGCUGCCCGGUUCGACAGGAGUCACAUUCCCCGGGGCCUUAUCGAUCUCGAAGGGAGCUGUCCCUGGUCUCGCCCGUGGGCUUGACCAAAACGGCGCCCACCUACUUUGUAGGUUUCCCGGGAUCGUACACUCCACCGGCCAUGGCGGCCGCGCU
RNAcentral lists this non-coding RNA (159 nucleotides) under Afifella marina. RNAcentral describes it as "6S RNA". It matches the Rfam family "6S / SsrS RNA". From Rfam's summary of the family: E. coli 6S RNA was the first non coding RNA to be sequenced, but its function was unknown until recently. It consists of 184 nucleotides that fold into an extended hairpin structure with a large single-stranded internal bulge. RNAcentral also lists the same sequence under 4 other names. Lineage: Bacteria; Pseudomonadati; Pseudomonadota; Alphaproteobacteria; Hyphomicrobiales; Afifellaceae. The record is from RNAcentral.